GGCAACUGCCCCGAAAGGGGGUGUUGUAAUGUUUAAAGAAAUCAUCACAUUGGUUGUCGCCCCACUUUUUGUGGCGCUAGUAACCAUUCUAGUCGAACAUUGGUUAGAUAAUCGAGACGACAACUAAAAAAGCAGUUGCUGACUAACCCACGUGCUUGCAGUCGCAACAAGCAA
This 174-nucleotide non-coding RNA is filed under the name uncultured Tetragenococcus sp. Its description in RNAcentral is "Enterococcus sRNA B11". It matches the Rfam family "Enterococcus sRNA B11". From Rfam's summary of the family: Name 'Ref' stands for RNA in E. faecalis. The record is from RNAcentral. Lineage: Bacteria; Bacillati; Bacillota; Bacilli; Lactobacillales; Enterococcaceae.